UGCUGCAGAUCACAGACCAGCGCUGAUGCACACUUGGUUAAACUCCAUCCACUGGGUGUGAAGAGAACACACGUGUGUCGGGGAGUCGGUGUGAGGUCAGAGCAAACACAACAUUGGUCAGGAUACAGGGAUGACUGAAGUUUUGAAUGGAAAAGAGAAUUUCACUGGGAGAUAGUCACAUGUCUGACUGGGGAUUUUCAACCUGUGGCUCAGGAGCCACAUGUGGCUCUUUAAACUCUUUGCUUCCUGUAAUGGACUAAAUGAAACCUGGCUGUGCUUUAAAAAGUCAGCAUUAAAUAAUCAGACAAAAAUCAUGGUUAGAACAAUUUUACAUGUCGCACUAAAGUUUCAGCCAAUAAUAGCAAACAGAAACAGAAACCACGGGGAGAGAUCAAUCAAUGCUGGCUUCAGGUCACUGCUAUCUGUCUGAACAGACUCAACCAGGACUUCUCUGUCUACGUCAAAAUACAUCAAUAAUAAAUACAUAUUUAUGGAAAAUUGGGAAAUUAUUCAUUUAAAUUAAAAGGAUCCAUGUGUGUUUUAAGCCACCCAUAAAAGUAAUAAUAGUUAUAUCUAAGCACCACGGUAGGAUGCUUAAAUCAUUGUACACACAAACGUUAGCUACAACUAGUCAUCUUUUAAAAUACAAUAAGUUUCACAACAUUUCUGCACUGGUUUAAAUGAAUCGGUCUUGGCUACAGUAUGUCUGGCUCUGUCCGUUCCUUAUAAACCAUCUAACGCUCCACUGAGUUGUUCAGAGCCACAUACUGGCCAGCAGAGGGAACAGGGUCAGAAACAAAGAGCCUGAGAAGCCUUUAUAUUAAUUGCUACACAGGUGUCAGCCCGCACGCCGCACAGGUGUUUAACAAUGACGAGGAUGUGCCGAGGUCCAAGCCCAGUGUUGGGUCACAGGGCAACUCUUCCUGGGUAACUCGAAGAUGCCAUCAAAUAUUUAGCUGGCCUCCUUUUCAUGAUCAUCGAAAAAAAAACGGAGCACGGAGCAAUGAUUAAUCAGCAAAUUUAUUCUCUCCAAGACUCGGCCCCACCAGCGGGAAUGUUACACUUCCGCAGGAGGACGGAGGAGGAUGGAAAACUCAUUAGGGACGGCCAAUGAAUAAUGGAGAAGCGUGUGUUGCUGCUAGCUUGGUUUACAUCUUCGCUGGAUCGAGAGCUGCUGUUGGCUCCAGUGGGGGUGUGGAGUUCGGGGCAGGUGGGGCAGAUGGAGACAAAGCGAGGCAGGAGGAGGAGGAGGCUGGCAGGAGUGGAGAGCUGGAGAGUCUCAGAAUCGCCACAGUGAAAGUGAGGAGAUGACUCCACUGAAAGCUGCAGCCAGCGUCGGCCUCAUCAGGCAAAAAUGGAAAAAAGGUGAAGCAGCCAGGAAGCGAGCUGCAGGGAUGCAAUGGUGUAACCAAGAUCACUGGCAGUUGACAAAAAGGGGGGAGGAUGGAACACUGAUGAGUGAUUAUGCAUGUUAGAUACACACAGGAGUUCCUGAAUGGUUCCAUAUGUGUUCCCUUCUACCAGAAAUGUUGUUCCACACACAGUGUACCCCUUCAGGUUUCAACAAUUAUUGUAUUUUUUAUAUUUCUUAAAAUAUGUUCCUCAACAUCUGAAAGUCAUUUCAAUGUCAAACUGUGCCUGCAGGAACAGGACAUACUGUGUACUCUGCAUACGUAGUAGAGUGUACUGUGACAGUAUGUGCACAGUCAUGUGGUGAAAGUGACAAAUGGAGGCGAAUGGUUGUAGGUGGCUGCAGGUGUUUGGUUUCAGGUGACCAGUGUUGCGUGGUCCACGUGGUAACCAGAGCUGGAAUCUCCGUCCAGAGGAUAAAGCUCCUCCAGGAUUGGUCGAUUCUGCCUCCUGCUCCGAUGUUUUACACGCAGGAUGGACAAUGACUGGCACAUGGUGUGUGACACGGGGCUGUUACACAACCAGACAUUGAUAUGAUGCAUGGAUGCAUCCAUGGGUGCAUUUUAAAAAUAAAAUUAGAGUUUGUUAAUGUGCGACAAUGCUCAGUGUAGCGGCUCCUGCUGACUCGCCAUGCUUCCUCCUCAGAGGUGUCUGCGAGCAUCAGGAAGUGAAAAUUGAUAAUCACAGGUCUCAAGGUGUGAGUUUCUGCACAUCCUAUAGAUAAAACUUGUUACGAGAGAGACAAGGCACUGAUGUGCUGCUCUAAUUUUUUAUGUUACCUCAGCAGCUGGAUGUGAGUCUUCAAUCUCACUCUUUCUGCAACGGUUUUGUACAUGAGAUAAGAUGAUCAGGAUAGUUAACCUGAUCGUUUUUUAAUAUUUUUCUAGUUUGUAAAUUAAAUUAUGAAAAAACAUAAAAAAGGUUAACAAUAUUAGCCAGGAAUUUUAGGAGAGGAUAAAAGACAAAGCCAAAAAUAACAGUACCUUACUGAGCUUUAAUUUAGAAAGAAGAAAAAUCAGAAUCUGAAGCUCUCAUAUCUAAAGCUAAGUUCAAUCAUUAUUCAGAAACCCAGAAAACUCUGACCCUGAGGAAACGGUGAUAAAAAAGGAACUAGGCCGAAGCAUGUAAAUAUAUAACACAGGGAUGUGGGGCAAGAGCUACAGCCACAGAUAUUUGGGAGCUUCAGUAUCUGAAAUGACCAGCAGAGUCACUGCAUGAACAACUGAUUGGAAUCUAAAGCAUAAAGAACGCUGUGUCAUGGUUUGGGGCUGCAUUUCAAAAAAAGGUGGUGGUGGGAAACUGAACAGAACUCGUGUUAGAAACUCAUUUUUAGUGAUUCAAAUCACAGGACAAAUGAAAACAACACACUCCCCAUAUACAAAAAAAAAAAAAAGAUAAAAUGAGAGUGACAAAGCCGGUACAAACUCAGAGAAUGAGUGCUGCAGGGACGAGCUGGGGUCAGGAGCAGGAGCUGAUGCUGGUGCAGCAGAUAACCUGGGCAGAAACAAAGCACUUGGAGUGGUAGAUGAUUCAUUUGGAGUGUGAUUGGGCAGCAGUGAGGGAGCAGACAAAGAGCGUGGUUGAGAAAACACUCACCGUGAGUAGGAAGACCAGCAACUCAGUGCACCGACAUUUAAAUCAGAAUCACAUUCAUCUCCACGGCAAAUGUGCUGCACUGGAUGGAGUGAUGUACGUCAUGGGGAAAAUAUCUAUUUAAAUAAUAAUCAGGGUUUUUUUUUUUUAACAGAUCUUAAAAUAAAACAAGAAGAGAGUGCAAAACCUCAGUUGAAGUAUUUAGUAUUCACUGUGAAACGACACUAUGUUUAGAACCCUGUCGUCGGUGGCAAUGGUUUGAACUGCGGCAGAGUGACAACAGGGGAAUUAACACAGAAGAUGGAAAUCACCUGCUCAAAGCUGACAGUGUGUUGUUUAGUUUCACAUGUUUACAGUAAAAUUCAAUUUUAUUCAUACGUUUUUAUUUACAUCCUCAGCUUUAAUUAACAGCCAUAACCUGCAGUGGGAUAACUACGGCCAUUACUCAGUCUGCACAUGAACUGUUGUUGCUAACAACGCUAAUAUUGUUGAAGGAUUA
Long non-coding RNA from Cynoglossus semilaevis (tongue sole), 3502 nucleotides. RefSeq lists it as uncharacterized. The transcript has 3 exons. Lineage: Eukaryota; Metazoa; Chordata; Actinopteri; Pleuronectiformes; Cynoglossidae. The record is from RefSeq and is a predicted model, not a curated record.